UUUUUUUUGUGUGUGAACAUGGUGUGGAAACGUGUUUUGUAACCGAGCAGAACGAUAGCAGUAUUGUAUACUCUCAAUGUUUAAUGGCAACGGAUUGUGUUUGGGGAGCCCAGUCGUUCCAAGGCAAACUGUACAUGUACAAAAGUGUUUUUAAAACAUUCUAUAUAAUCUUUGCUAUUAUUUGUCUGACGAGCAAUGUCCAUGUGAACGGUUGGUGCGGUUCAUUUGUCAAACUGAAGUCAUUUCAUUCUGUAGGCGUAACAUGUAACCUGAAAGUGUAAAGUUGUAGGAAAACACUGGAUUCAUGCUGCUUGAGGGCCGAGUCGUAUUGUUUUAUAUUUAUAUUUUUCUACUUAUUUUUAUAAUAAAAUGACGAGGG
Hippocampus zosterae (dwarf seahorse) is the source of this 379-nucleotide long non-coding RNA. RefSeq lists it as uncharacterized. Lineage: Eukaryota; Metazoa; Chordata; Actinopteri; Syngnathiformes; Syngnathidae. The record is from RefSeq and is a predicted model, not a curated record. The transcript is spliced from 2 exons.